Molecule: non-coding RNA, 858 nt
Organism: Labrus bergylta (ballan wrasse)
Lineage: Eukaryota; Metazoa; Chordata; Actinopteri; Labriformes; Labridae
Source: RefSeq, a predicted model, not a curated record
GGAAGCAGGAAGUUAAGGGUUCCUUCUUUGAUCUUCAAGGCUGCACACAGCAGGCAGCAACAGAGAUUUUUCACUCCUUAUUCAAUCUGGUGAAGAAAUGAAAAGAGGAGUUUGUCUGACUGUCAACCUACGAGCACCAAACACGUGGAGGACUGUACACACACCUGUGGAGGAUGUAGAGGACCAUCUCUUUGCUUCCUGCACUGGCAGCGUGAUGACGUAACCUGCAGCCGGACGAGUCGAGUGACGGGCAGCCUGACCAAAACAAGACAAAGAGCUGGUAACAUGUAUGCUACACCACGCUGCCUCACCUGCUUCCUUCAACAUUUGGUGUUUCCUGUUUCUGAACUGUGAAGAGUAGGAUCUGUGCUGCAGCUGGAAGGAUUUUCUUCAGAUUAAAGUUUACUUGAUAGCUGUUUUAGUUUUCUUUCAGUCAUAGUUUGUUGUUUUUAUCUUUCAGCUAUAGAUUUAGUUUAGUCUGUUUGCUUUAAUUUUCAUUUGCAGUUUUCUCUUCAAACACUGAUAACACAAUUUAAUAAUUUUAAAGUCUUAAUUUGUUUCAUGUUUGUGUUGUCAGCAUCUUUAAUUCCUAAUGGAUGUUUUGUUGUAGUUGUUUCCUUUGUUUUCAUUUGAAGUUUGGAUAUUUUUUAUAACAUUUGAUAAAUUUCCAUUAGGAAACAUGCUUACUGGGUAGAUAACUACAGACAAGUUUCCUCUGAACAAUGAAACCUGUAAACUACUAUAAAUAAAACACACCUGGCAGAUAACAGAACAUAAUUACAGAAGUCACUGAUGCAGAAUGGACAGCAGUAGUUUUAUUACAAUAAAAUAUUGAACAGCCAUGACCUGUUUUUUGUA